Symphalangus syndactylus (siamang) is the source of this 988-nucleotide long non-coding RNA. RefSeq lists it as uncharacterized. Lineage: Eukaryota; Metazoa; Chordata; Mammalia; Primates; Hylobatidae. The record is from RefSeq and is a predicted model, not a curated record.
CUGCCAUCUUGGGAGCGGCCCGCCCCAUCUUGGGAGCUCUAAGAACAAAGACUCACCGGGACUCAUUCUGUUGCCCAGGCUAGAAUGCAGUGGUGUAAUCAUGGCUCACUGCAACCUCCACCUCCUGGGCUCGAGUGAUCCUCCCAUCUGAACCUCCCCAACUAGCUGGAACCACAGGUGCGCACUACACCACAUCUGGCUGAUUUUUGUAUAUUUUGUAGAGACAGGUUUUCACCACGUCGCUCAGGCUAAUCUCACACUCCUGAACUGAUCUGCCCACCUUGGCUGUCCAAAGUGCCAGGAUUACAGAUAUGGGACACUGUGUGGUCCCCUCAACUUAUUUUUUUAACAUUUAUUUUUUCCAAUCAAGUUGCUCGUCUCUUUCACUUUUGUCCAAUUUGUUUCUUAUAUUUUCUUUUUAUUAUUAUUUUAAUAUUGAUUCAUUUUUUAACUUUUUUAUUCCUUUUAUUUCUUUCCCUAGUUUAUUUCAUAACUCACCUUUAUGCUUAUUUCUAUUUCACUGAUUUCAGUAUUAAUUAUUUUAAAUUGCUUUCUGUUGCACAGUUUUAGCUUUAUUAUUUCUUAUGCUAUUUAUUCUUUAUUUUUACUCAACUUCUUAGUUUCUUGCAUUGUGUUCUUUCACUUUAUCUCAUUGGUUUAAUUUCAUAAUUCUAAUUAUUUCCUGGUUAUUUUAACGUUCAUUUUAAGAAAUUGCUAUUGUUUUUAAUUUCAAAAAUGGUCUUCGUAUGGUAUAUGAAAAACAAUUCAAUGUGGAUGGCCCCAAGGACAAAGAAUCUGUACCAAGGAAAGGUGGCCUUGCAGUUUUCUAUCAAACUUCCCAGGAACAGCAGUUUGCAGCCUCCUCUUUGCCGCAACACACCAAAAGGAUCAGGGUCAUUGACUCUUAGUAGUUCUCAGCUGUGAUGCAGUAAAGCAUUUCAAAACCUCUAGCUGAAUGCUAAGACAAAGGCUUCUCAUUAUGCGAAGG